RNAcentral lists this ribosomal RNA (446 nucleotides) under uncultured bacterium. RNAcentral's name for it is "partial 16S ribosomal RNA". It matches the Rfam family "Bacterial small subunit ribosomal RNA", at positions 338 to 795 of the family's 1533-position model. The record is from RNAcentral.
CCUACGGGAGGCAGCAGUAGGGAAUUUUCGUCAAUGGGGGGAACCCUGACCGAGCAACGCCGCGUGAACGAAGAAGUUAUUCGUAAUGUAAAGUUCUUUUAAUAGGGAAGAAAGAGAAAUUUGACGGUACCUGAAGAAUAAGCCCCGGCUAACUACGUGCCAGCAGUCGCGGGAAUACGUAGGGAUCGAGCGUUAUCCGGAAUUAUUGGGCGUAAAGGGUGCGUAGAUGGCAUAGUAAGUCUUUGGUAAAAGUGCUGGGCUCAACCCAGUAGGGCAAAAGAUACUGCAAGGCUAGAGUAUGACAGAGGCAUGUGGAACUAGAGGUGUAGCGGUGAAAUGCGUAAAUAUAUGUAAGAACACCAGUGGCGAAGGCAGCUUGCUGGGUCGAUACUGACAUUGAGGCACGAAAGCGUGGGGAGCGAACAGGAUUAGAUACCCGGGUAGUC